RNAcentral lists this ribosomal RNA (253 nucleotides) under uncultured bacterium. RNAcentral describes it as "partial 16S ribosomal RNA". It matches the Rfam family "Bacterial small subunit ribosomal RNA", at positions 524 to 776 of the family's 1533-position model. The record is from RNAcentral.
UACGUAGGGUGCAAGCGUUGUCCGGAAUUAUUGGGCGUAAAGAGCUCGUAGGCGGUCUGUCGCGUCGGCUGUGAAAUCCCGGAGCUCAACUCCGGGCCUGCAGUCGAUACGGGCAGACUGGAGUUCGGCAGGGGAGACUGGAAUUCCUGGUGUAGCGGUGAAAUGCGCAGAUAUCAGGAGGAACACCGAUGGCGAAGGCAGGUCUCUGGGCCACUACUGACGCUGAGAAGCGAAAGCGUGGGGAGCGAACAGG